ACAUGCAAGUCGAACGGUAACAGGUCUUCGGACGCUGACGAGUGGCGAACGGGUGAGUAAUACAUCGGAACGUGCCCAGUCGUGGGGGAUAACUACUCGAAAGAGUAGCUAAUACCGCAUACGAUCUGAGGAUGAAAGCGGGGGACCUUCGGGCCUCGCGCGAUUGGAGCGGCCGAUGGCAGAUUAGGUAGUUGGUGGGAUAAAAGCUUACCAAGCCGACGAUCUGUAGCUGGUCUGAGAGGACGACCAGCCACACUGGGACUGAGACACGGCCCAGACUCCUACGGGAGGCAGCAGUGGGGAAUUUUGGACAAUGGGCGAAAGCCUGAUCCAGCAAUGCCGCGUGCAGGAUGAAGGCCUUCGGGUUGUAAACUGCUUUUGUACGGAACGAAAAAGCUCCUUCUAAUACAGGGGGCCCAUGACGGUACCGUAAGAAUAAGCACCGGCUAACUACGUGCCAGCAGCCGCGGUAAUACGUAGGGUGCGAGCGUUAAUCGGAAUUACUGGGCGUAAAGCGUGCGCAGGCGGUUAUGUAAGACAGAUGUGAAAUCCCCGGGCUCAACCUGGGAACUGCAUUUGUGACUGCAUGGCUAGAGUACGGUAGAGGGGGAUGGAAUUCCGCGUGUAGCAGUGAAAUGCGUAGAUAUGCGGAGGAACACCGAUGGCGAAGGCAAUCCCCUGGACCUGUACUGACGCUCAUGCACGAAAGCGUGGGG
Molecule: ribosomal RNA, 716 nt
Filed under: Delftia sp. enrichment culture clone NCP12-80
Lineage: Bacteria; Pseudomonadati; Pseudomonadota; Betaproteobacteria; Burkholderiales; Comamonadaceae
Description: bacterial SSU rRNA
Rfam family: Bacterial small subunit ribosomal RNA
Source: RNAcentral